Molecule: ribosomal RNA, 497 nt
Filed under: uncultured bacterium
Lineage: Bacteria
Description: partial 16S ribosomal RNA
Rfam family: Bacterial small subunit ribosomal RNA
Source: RNAcentral
GAUGAACGCUGGCGGCGUGCCUAAUACAUGCAAGUCGAGCGAACGGACGAGAAGCUUGCUUCUCUGAUGUUAGCGGCGGACGGGUGAGUAACACGUGGAUAACCUACCUAUAAGACUGGGAUAACUUCGGGAAACCGGAGCUAAUACCGGAUAAUAUUUUGAACCGCAUGAUUCAAAAGUGAAAGACGGUCUUGCUGUCACUUAUAGAUGGAUCCGCGCUGCAUUAGCUAGUUGGUAAGGUAACGGCUUACCAAGGCAACGAUGCAUAGCCGACCUGAGAGGGUGAUCGGCCACGCUGGAACUGAGACACGGUCCAGACUCCUACGGGAGGCAGCAGUAGGGAAUCUUCCGCAAUGGGCGAAAGCCUGACGGAGCAACGCCGCGUGAGUGAUGAAGGUCUUCGGAUCGUAAAACUCUGUUAUUAGGGAAGAACAUAUGUGUAAGUAACUGUGCACAUCUUGACGGUACCUAAUCAGAAAGCCACGGCUAACUACGUG